Molecule: transfer RNA, 72 nt
Filed under: Candidatus Nealsonbacteria bacterium CG10_big_fil_rev_8_21_14_0_10_36_23
Lineage: Bacteria; Candidatus Nealsoniibacteriota
Also listed under: 1 other name
Description: tRNA-Val
Rfam family: tRNA
About the family: Transfer RNA (tRNA) molecules are approximately 80 nucleotides in length. Their secondary structure includes four short double-helical elements and three loops (D, anti-codon, and T loops).
Source: RNAcentral
GGACGUAUAGCUCAGAGGGAGAGCGCUACGCUUACAUUGUAGAGGUAGCAGGUUCAACUCCUGCCGAGUCCA